ACACGAAGGGGGCAAGCGUUGUUCGGAAUAACUGGGCGUAAAGCGCACGUAGGCGGAAUGUUAAGUUAGAGGUGAAAUCCCAGGGCUCAACCCUGGAACUGCCUUUAAUACUGGCAAUCUAGAGACCGAGAGAGGUGAGUGGAAUUCCGAGUGUAGAGGUGAAAUUCGUAGAUAUUCGGAGGAACACCAGUGGCGAAGGCGGCUCACUGGCUCGGUACUGACGCUGAGGUGCGAAAGCGUGGGGAGCAAACAGGAUUAGAUACCCUAGUAGUCC
RNAcentral lists this ribosomal RNA (274 nucleotides) under uncultured bacterium. Its description in RNAcentral is "partial 16S ribosomal RNA". It matches the Rfam family "Bacterial small subunit ribosomal RNA", at positions 523 to 796 of the family's 1533-position model. The record is from RNAcentral.